CACGUAGUUAGCCGGGGCUUCUUAGUCAGGUACCGUCCAGGCGCCCAAGGGGCACCUUUCUUCCCUGCUGAUAGAGCUUUACAUACCGAAAUACUUCUUCACUCGCGCGGCGUCGCUGCAUCAGGGUUUCCCCCAUUGUGCAAUAUUCCCCACUGCUGCCUCCCGUAGGAGUUUGGGCCGUGUCUCAGUCCCAAUGUGGCCGUCCGCCCUCUCAGGCCGGCUACCGAUCGUCGCUUUGGUGGGCCGUUAUCCCGCCAACUGGCUAAUCGGACGCGGAUCCAUCGUAUGCCGUUAAACCUUUUCACACUGUGUCAUGCGACACCGUGCGUUUAUGCGGUAUUAGCAACUGUUUCCAGUUGGUAUCCCCCUGCAUACGGCAGGUUAUCCACGCGUUACUCACCCGUCCGCCACUCACUUAAUUAUCACUAGGUUUCAAAUUAAGUCCGUUCGACUUGCAUGUGUUAGGCACGCCACCAGCGUUCAUCCUGAGCCAGGAUCAAACUCU
Molecule: ribosomal RNA, 505 nt
Filed under: uncultured Lachnospiraceae bacterium
Lineage: Bacteria; Bacillati; Bacillota; Clostridia; Lachnospirales; Lachnospiraceae
Description: partial 16S ribosomal RNA
Source: RNAcentral